Non-coding RNA from Triticum aestivum (bread wheat), 125 nucleotides. NCBI's taxonomy places the organism in Eukaryota, Viridiplantae, Streptophyta, Magnoliopsida, Poales, Poaceae. The record is from Rfam.
AGUAUACUCCCUCCGUCCGGAAAUACUCGUCGGAGGAAUGGAUGUAUCUAGAUGUAUUUUAGUUCUAGAUACAUUCAUUUUUAUACAUUUCUCUGAUAAGUAUUUUCGGACGGAGGGAGUACAAU